UUGUACUUUACUUCUUCACCUUCUCUCCCUCUCUGUUCUGUAAAAGAAACUGGCAUCCAGACCCCGAUAAGAUGGUUUUUGGGGAACAUCUUCUCGGUCUGCCGGCUUUCUGAAUGAAAUCGCUCUUCCUUGCCUCACCACUUCCUGUCCCGAUUUAUUGGCCUGCCGUGCGGCGAGCAGAGCGAGCUUGGACUCGCUCUGUCUCCGAGGUUCGAUUCAGCACUGGUGUACAGAGAAGCUGAGCUUUCGACAUCACAGGAAGAAAUAGCCUUUUCUAUGGUGAUGACCAGAAGUUUUCCUCAGCACACCUCUCAGCUUCUCCUUCCAGCUUCAACACUCUGGGAACCUGCCAUACUUGAUCUCUUUGGAGAGGUAUUCUGGGACAAAUCGUCUAGAUACAGAAAAUGUUAAGAGGUAACUGGCACAGAAUUAACAGCUUUCAUACUUGGCUACAAGACAGUCUUCUCUAGUUUCCCAUAUAUUUCUUGACCUGAUGUAUUUAAGGACGUUUGAAAUCACAUUAUUUUGAAGUGUCUUAAUUUUGCUUAUAUUGGGUUGUGGAAGUUUCAGAUUAGGUUUAUCCUCUCAAGGCAUCUGAUCUUAUUGGCUCUGUAUCCUUCAGAAAUAACUGAAUAAUUGAUUUACUAGGGACUUCUCUUGGUUUUUUAGGACCUCCAAGUCUUUAACUGUUUAUUUACUAUAUUUUGUGACUUCUAUAAUCUCAGUGGGAUUUUUGAAGGAAGAAGAGAUUAAAACAUGCCCUUAGUCAGCCAUUUUGAAACCCCAAGUCUCUCUUUUUUUUUAGGUAAUAUUAUCAC
This is a long non-coding RNA of Orcinus orca (killer whale), 818 nucleotides long. RefSeq lists it as uncharacterized. The record is from RefSeq and is a predicted model, not a curated record. Lineage: Eukaryota; Metazoa; Chordata; Mammalia; Artiodactyla; Delphinidae. The transcript is spliced from 3 exons.